AUGUCUCUUCGUGCACGCCACCCUUUCAAAUUCUCAUUUGUCGUCUCCGGAACUCAAAAGUUAGUGGUCCAAGAAAACAGCCUAGGAAAUAAUCAGAUUCCCGCUUUUUGGUCAACGGUCCCUCGCGUAACGAAUGCUAGCGCAGAACCCUCCGCGGACCGCAGCAGGGACCGGUUCCCGGCUGGUCUUGGUCACCCGCCGCCAACACCAGGAGCGAGAGCUGAGCGAGGGCUGUGGGACCGGGUGCCAGACCGAGAGCGCCGCCGUGCACCCGAGGGUGACAGCGGGAGAGAAGGUGAAUGCAAAGGGUCUGGUGAGCGACUCAGGAAAUCCCCAAAAUGGAAGCACAACAGGAUGAAAAGAACUGGCAUCCCUAAAAUAUUACAUUGAAGACUGGACACCUGAUUGGACCAUGACAUGGGUCAGGGGAGGACCACCCUGCUUCAUGGCCGACCCUGCGGGCUUGCCCGGCCUCCUUCGCGGAGGUCAUUGGACCCUGUAUAUUCUCCUACAAACGUCUCUGGCAUCUGAGAGGCAAGUAAACCCUACAGCGCCUGCUUGUUCACAGAGGGCCUUAUCAGUUGUUGAUGAGACCCUGUCUAGGCUCACAGACAGGCAGUUUCCUCCAGCCCCAGAGCCCGAGCCCGCUGUGGAGCCAGAAGAAGG
Molecule: long non-coding RNA, 666 nt
Filed under: Felis catus (domestic cat)
Lineage: Eukaryota; Metazoa; Chordata; Mammalia; Carnivora; Felidae
Description: lncRNA (ENSFCAG00000046734.2)
Source: RNAcentral